UAACCUGCCCAAGAGACUGGGAUAACACCUGGAAACAGAUGCUAAUACCGGAUAACAACACUAGACGCAUGUCUAGAGUUUAAAAGAUGGUUCUGCUAUCACUCUUGGAUGGACCUGCGGUGCAUUAGCUAGUUGGUAAGGUAACGGCUUACCAAGGCAAUGAUGCAUAGCCGAGUUGAGAGACUGAUCGGCCACAUUGGGACUGAGACACGGCCCAAACUCCUACGGGAGGCAGCAGCG
This 240-nucleotide ribosomal RNA is filed under the name uncultured bacterium. RNAcentral's name for it is "partial 16S ribosomal RNA". It matches the Rfam family "Bacterial small subunit ribosomal RNA", at positions 122 to 356 of the family's 1533-position model. The record is from RNAcentral.